GGGUUGUGAGGUUAAGCGACUAAGCGUACACGGUGGAUGCCCUGGCAGUCAGAGGCGAUGAAGGACGUGCUAAUCUGCGAAAAGCGCCGGCGAGGUGAUAUGAACCCUUGACCCGGAUGUCCGAAUGGGGAAACCCAGUGCAAUUCGUUGCACUAUCGUUAACUGAAUACAUAGGUUAACGAGGCGAACCGGGGGAACUGAAACAUCUAAGUACCCCGAGGAAAAGAAAUCAACCGAGAUUCCCCCAGUAGCGGCGAGCGAACGGGGAGCAGCCCGGAGUCUGAAUCAGCUUGUGUGUUAGUGGAACGGUCUGGAAAGUCCGACGGUACAGGGUGAUAGUCCCGUACACGAAAACACACUUGCUGUGAACUCGAAGAGUAGGGCGGGACACGUGGUAUCCUGUCUGAAUAUGGGGGGACCAUCCUCCAAGGCUAAAUACUCCUGACUGACCGAUAGUGAACCAGUACCGUGAGGGAAAGGCGAAAAGAACCCCGGCGAGGGGAGUGAAAAAGAACCUGAAACCGUGUACGUACAAGCAGUGGGAGCACCUUCGGGUGUGACUGCGUACCUUUUGUAUAAUGGGUCAGCGACUUAUAUUCUGUAGCAAGGUUAACCGUAUAGGGGAGCCGAAGGGAAACCGAGUCUUAACUGGGCGUUAAGUUGCAGGGUAUAGACCCGAAACCCGGUGAUCUAGCCAUGGGCAGGUUGAAGGUUGGGUAACACUAACUGGAGGACCGAACCGACUAAUGUUGAAAAAUUAGCGGAUGACCUGUGGCUGGGGGUGAAAGGCCAAUCAAACCGGGAGAUAGCUGGUUCUCCCCGAAAGCUAUUUAGGUAGCGCCUCGUGAACUCAUCUUCGGGGGUAGAGCACUGUUUCGGCUAGGGGGCCAUCCCGGCUUACCAACCCGAUGCAAACUACGAAUACCGAAGAAUGUUAUCACGGGAGACACACGGCGGGUGCUAACGUCCGUCGUGAAGAGGGAAACAACCCAGACCGCCAGCUAAGGUCCCAAAGUCAUGGUUAAGUGGGAAACGAUGUGGGAAGGCACAGACAGCCAGGAUGUUGGCUUAGAAGCAGCCAUCAUUUAAAGAAAGCGUAAUAGCUCACUGGUCGAGUCGGCCUGCGCGGAAGAUGUAACGGGGCUAAACCAUGCACCGAAGCUGCGGCAGCGACACUAUGUGUUGUUGGGUAGGGGAGCGUUCUGUAAGCCGUUGAAGGUGUGCUGUGAGGCAUGCUGGAGGUAUCAGAAGUGCGAAUGCUGACAUAAGUAACGAUAAAGCGGGUGAAAAGCCCGCUCGCCGGAAGACCAAGGGUUCCUGUCCAACGUUAAUCGGGGCAGGGUGAGUCGACCCCUAAGGCGAGGCCGAAAGGCGUAGUCGAUGGGAAACAGGUUAAUAUUCCUGUACUUGGUGUUACUGCGAAGGGGGGACGGAGAAGGCUAUGUCAGCCGGGCGACGGUUGUCCCGGUUUAAGCAUGUAGGCGGAGGUUCCAGGUAAAUCCGGUACCUUUUAACGCUGAGGUGUGAUGACGAGGCACUACGGUGCUGAAGUGAUAAAUGCCCUGCUUCCAGGAAAAGCCUCUAAGCAUCAGGUAACACGAAAUCGUACCCCAAACCGACACAGGUGGUCAGGUAGAGAAUACCAAGGCGCUUGAGAGAACUCGGGUGAAGGAACUAGGCAAAAUGGUGCCGUAACUUCGGGAGAAGGCACGCUGAUA
RNAcentral lists this ribosomal RNA (1718 nucleotides) under Enterobacter hormaechei. Its description in RNAcentral is "partial 23S ribosomal RNA". It matches the Rfam family "Bacterial large subunit ribosomal RNA", at positions 1 to 1756 of the family's 2925-position model. Lineage: Bacteria; Pseudomonadati; Pseudomonadota; Gammaproteobacteria; Enterobacterales; Enterobacteriaceae. The record is from RNAcentral.